RNAcentral lists this ribosomal RNA (928 nucleotides) under uncultured Gammaproteobacteria bacterium. Its description in RNAcentral is "bacterial SSU rRNA". It matches the Rfam family "Bacterial small subunit ribosomal RNA", at positions 8 to 930 of the family's 1533-position model. Lineage: Bacteria; Pseudomonadati; Pseudomonadota; Gammaproteobacteria. The record is from RNAcentral.
AGGGUUUGAUCAUGGCUCAGAUUGAACGCUGGCGGCAGGCUUAACACAUGCAAGUCGAGCGGGGAGAUGUAGCUUGCUACAUUUCCUAGCGGCGGACGGGUGAGUAAUGCUUAGGAAUCUGCCUAUUAGUGGGGGACAACAUUCCGAAAGGAAUGCUAAUACCGCAUACGCCCUACGGGGGAAAGCAGGGGAUCUUCGGACCUUGCGCUAAUAGAUGAGCCUAAGUCAGAUUAGCUAGUUGGUGGGGUAAAGGCCUACCAAGGCGACGAUCUGUAGCGGGUCUGAGAGGAUGAUCCGCCACACUGGGACUGAGACACGGCCCAGACUCCUACGGGAGGCAGCAGUGGGGAAUAUUGGACAAUGGGCGCAAGCCUGAUCCAGCCAUGCCGCGUGUGUGAAGAAGGCCUUUUGGUUGUAAAGCACUUUAAGCGAGGAGGAGGCUACUUGGAUUAAUACUCUAGGAUAGUGGACGUUACUCGCAGAAUAAGCACCGGCUAACUCUGUGCCAGCAGCCGCGGUAAUACAGAGGGUGCGAGCGUUAAUCGGAUUUACUGGGCGUAAAGCGUGCGUAGGCGGCUUUUUAAGUCGGAUGUGAAAUCCCUGAGCUUAACUUAGGAAUUGCAUUCGAUACUGGGAAGCUAGAGUAUGGGAGAGGAUGGUAGAAUUCCAGGUGUAGCGGUGAAAUGCGUAGAGAUCUGGAGGAAUACCGAUGGCGAAGGCAGCCAUCUGGCCUAAUACUGACGCUGAGGUACGAAAGCAUGGGGAGCAAACAGGAUUAGAUACCCUGGUAGUCCAUGCCGUAAACGAUGUCUACUAGCCGUUGGGGCCUUUGAGGCUUUAGUGGCGCAGCUAACGCGAUAAGUAGACCGCCUGGGGAGUACGGUCGCAAGACUAAAACUCAAAUGAAUUGACGGGGGCCCGCACAAGC